Molecule: unclassified non-coding RNA, 263 nt
Filed under: plant metagenome
Description: partial contains small subunit ribosomal RNA, internal transcribed spacer 1, and 5.8S ribosomal RNA
Source: RNAcentral
UUUCCGUAGGUGAACCCGCGGAAGGAUCAUUAUUGUAUAACCGAGGUGCGAGGGCUGUCGCUGACCCGAAAGGUCGUGCACGCCCGAGUGCCCUCACACACAUCCAUCUCACCCCUAUGUGCACCACCGCGCGGGUCCCCCUUUGGCUUGUUCGGAGGGGGGCUUACGUUUUCACACAAACUUUGUAUGCAGUGUAGAAUGUAUUUUUUGUUUUUGCGAUCACGCAAUCAAUACAACUUUCAACAACGGAUCUCUUGGCUCUC